CUGGAAAAAAAAAAGUUCCUUCAAAGUUCUAAUUUUCUGUAUCGUUAAAUUUCGUAUCGUAAAACACUAUGGGUAAGCAAAAGACACAUGUAAACCUCGUCGUCAUUGGUCAUGUC
Molecule: non-coding RNA, 116 nt
Filed under: uncultured Vexilliferidae
Lineage: Eukaryota; Discosea; Flabellinia; Dactylopodida; Vexilliferidae
Source: RNAcentral